UACGUAGGGUGCAAGCGUUGUCCGGAAUUAUUGGGCGUAAAGAGCUCGUAGGCGGUCUGUCGCGUCUGCUGUGAAAAUCCAGGGCUCAACCCUGGACCUGCAGUGGGUACGGGCAGACUAGAGUGCGGUAGGGGAGAUCGGAAUUCCUGGUGUAGCGGUGAAAUGCGCAGAUAUCAGGAGGAACACCGGUGGCGAAGGCGGAUCUCUGGGCCGUAACUGACGCUGAGGAGCGAAAGCGUGGGGAGCAAACAGG
RNAcentral lists this ribosomal RNA (253 nucleotides) under uncultured bacterium. Its description in RNAcentral is "partial 16S ribosomal RNA". It matches the Rfam family "Bacterial small subunit ribosomal RNA", at positions 524 to 776 of the family's 1533-position model. The record is from RNAcentral.